AACNGACAGUGGUCAGGUAGAGAAUACCAAGGCGCUUGAGAGAACUCGGGUGAAGGAACUAGGCAAAAUGGUGCCGUAACUUCGGGAGAAGGCACGCUGACACGUAGGUGAAGUGAUUUACUCAUGGAGCUGAAGUCAGUCGAAGAUACCAGCUGGCUGCAACUGUUUAUUAAAAACACAGCACUGUGCAAACACGAAAGUGGACGUAUACGGUGUGACGCCUGCCCGGU
RNAcentral lists this ribosomal RNA (230 nucleotides) under Salmonella enterica subsp. enterica serovar Infantis. RNAcentral describes it as "partial 23S ribosomal RNA". It matches the Rfam family "Bacterial large subunit ribosomal RNA", at positions 1652 to 1867 of the family's 2925-position model. The record is from RNAcentral. Lineage: Bacteria; Pseudomonadati; Pseudomonadota; Gammaproteobacteria; Enterobacterales; Enterobacteriaceae.